Molecule: small nuclear RNA, 196 nt
Organism: Arabidopsis lyrata subsp. lyrata
Lineage: Eukaryota; Viridiplantae; Streptophyta; Magnoliopsida; Brassicales; Brassicaceae
Rfam family: U2 spliceosomal RNA
About the family: U2 is a small nuclear RNA (snRNA) component of the spliceosome (involved in pre-mRNA splicing). Complementary binding between U2 snRNA (in an area lying towards the 5' end but 3' to hairpin I) and the branchpoint sequence (BPS) of the intron results the bulging out of an unpaired adenosine, on the BPS, which initiates a nucleophilic attack at the intronic 5' splice site, thus starting the first of two transesterification reactions that mediate splicing.
Source: Rfam
AUACCUUUCUCGGCCUUUUGGCUAAGAUCAAGUGUAGUAUCUGUUCUUAUCAGUUUAAUAUCUGAUAUGUGGGCCAUCGGCUCACACGAUAUUAACUCUAUUUUUUAAGGGGAAGAGCCCAUUAAGAUAGCUUGCUAUCUGGGUUCUUACAAGUCGCUCAUGCGUUGCACUAUAGCACGGGCCUGGCUCACCCCAU